AGGUUACUGCUAUCGGUGUUCGCCUAAGCCAUGCGAGUCAUAUGUUCUUCGUGAACAUGGCGUACUGCUCAGUAACACGUGGAUAACCUGCCCUUGGGUCCGGCAUAACCCCGGGAAACUGGGGAUAAUUCCGGAUAACGCACAUAUGCUGGAAUGCUUUAUGCGUCAAAUGGAUUCGUCCGCCCAAGGAUGGGUCUGCGGCCUAUCAGGUAGUAGUGGGUGUAAUGUACCUACUAGCCUACGACGGGUACGGGUUGUGAGAGCAAGAGCCCGGAGAUGGAUUCUGAGACAUGAAUCCAGGCCCUACGGGGCGCAGCAGGCGCGAAAACUUUACAAUGCGGGAAACCGUGAUAAGGGGACACCGAGUGCCAGCAUCAUAUGCUGGCUGUCCGGGUGUGUAAAAUACACCUGUUAGCAAGGGCCGGGCAAGACCGGUGCCAGCCGCCGCGGUAACACCGGCGGCCCGAGUGGUGAUCGUGAUUAUUGGGUCUAAAGGGUCCGUAGCCGGUUUGGUCAGUCCUCCGGGAAAUCUGACGGCUUAACCGUUAGGCUUUCGGGGGAUACUGCCAGACUUGGAACCGGGAGAGGUAAGAGGUACUACAGGGGUAGGAGUGAAAUCUUGUAAUCCCUGUGGGACCACCUGUGGCGAAGGCGUCUUACCAGAACGGGUUCGACGGUGAGGGACGAAAGCUGGGGGCACGAACCGGAUUAGAUACCCGGGUAGUCCCAGCCGUAAACGAUGCUCGCUAGGUGUCAGCAUGGCGCGACCGUGUCUGGUGCCGCAGGGAAGCCGUGAAGCGAGCCACCUGGGAAGUACGGUCGCAAGGCUGAUACUUAAAGGAAUUGGCGGGGGAGCACAAUCACUAGUG
RNAcentral lists this ribosomal RNA (869 nucleotides) under uncultured soil archaeon. Its description in RNAcentral is "bacterial SSU rRNA". It matches the Rfam family "Archaeal small subunit ribosomal RNA", at positions 21 to 890 of the family's 1478-position model. The record is from RNAcentral.